Molecule: long non-coding RNA, 557 nt
Filed under: Nicotiana benthamiana
Lineage: Eukaryota; Viridiplantae; Streptophyta; Magnoliopsida; Solanales; Solanaceae
Description: long non-coding RNA (NBEN_LNC023447)
Source: RNAcentral
CUUGGUUUGCAACAAUUUUAUGGACUUUGUUUGGUACUAUCAAGAAUAGGCUUAUUUUUAGAGAUGGGGUUUCUCUUGCAAGUGAGAACCUUGGAAAAAGUAAACUAUAUCAAGAAUAGGCUUAUUUUUAGAGAAGGGGUUUCUCUUGCAAGUGAGAACCUUGGAAAAAGUAAACUACUUUUCAGAAUAAUCAAAGUUAGUUUGGUGAUUUCUUUACUUAUGUUGGCCUUUGAGAUUGUUGCUUACUUCAAAGGUUGGGAUUAUUUUCAGAAUCCAAGUUUGUAUAUUCCACAUACUUCUGAUGUUUUGGGGUUGUUCCAUAUAACUUAUGUUGGUUGGUUGGAUUUUCGCGCUGAUUAUAUCGCUCCUUCUGUUCAAAAUCUUUCCACAUUCUGUACUGUUUUUUUCCUAAUUCAGUCAUUAGAUCGUUGCUGAUUAUAUCGCGCCUUCUGUUCAAAAUCUUUCCACAUUCUGUACUGUUUUUUUCCUAAUUCAGUCGUUAGAUCGUUUGGUACUUUGUUUGGGUUGCUUAUACAUAAAGUGCAUGAAGAUUAAGC